CCAAUUGGUGAUGAUGAGAUGAUCAGUUAUGUUCUCAAUGGUCUUGGCACCAAAUAUGGGGCUCUCAUUACCUCGAUUACAAACCGUGCUGAUCCUGUUACCUUGGAUGACUUAUAUGGCCAUCUUUUACACCAUGAAC
Small nucleolar RNA from Telopea speciosissima, 139 nucleotides. RefSeq annotates it as small nucleolar RNA Z247. The transcript has a single exon. Lineage: Eukaryota; Viridiplantae; Streptophyta; Magnoliopsida; Proteales; Proteaceae. The record is from RefSeq and is a predicted model, not a curated record.